GACGAACGCUGGCGGCGUGCUUAACACAUGCAAGUCGAACGGAAAGGCCCCUUUGGGGGUACUCGAGUGGCGAACGGGUGAGUAACACGUGAGUAACCUGCCCUUGACUUCGGGAUAACUUCAGGAAACUGGGGCUAAUACCGGAUAGGAAUCCUUGCUGCAUGGUGGGGGUUGGAAAGCUUCGGGGGUUUUGGAUGGACUCGCGGCUUAUCAGCUUGUUGGUGGGGUAGUGGCUUACCAAGGCUUUGACGGGUAGCCGGCCUGUGGGGGCGACCGGCCACAUUGGGACUGAGAGGCGGCCCAGACUCCGACUGGAGGCAGCAGUGGGGAAGAUUGCACAAUGGGCGGAAGCCGGAUGCAGCAGCGCCGCGUGCGGGAUGACGGCCUUCGGGUUGUAAACCGCUUUCAGCAGGGGCGAAGCUUGUGGUGACGGUACCUGCAGAAGAAGCACCGGCUAACUACGUG
This 465-nucleotide ribosomal RNA is filed under the name uncultured bacterium. Its description in RNAcentral is "partial 16S ribosomal RNA". It matches the Rfam family "Bacterial small subunit ribosomal RNA", at positions 28 to 507 of the family's 1533-position model. The record is from RNAcentral.